CGUGCCUUGUUGUAAAGAACAAUUGAUUUUUCUGCCAAGCAGAGCAGCUGCAGUGCGUGUAGGAGAGGGUGUUGCGGGGUGUAGACGCCUCCCGCACCCAGAUCCGCCCUCCAGAGGCCAGGUCUGCCCGCCCCCGAGGCCCCUGGAGCUGAGAGCCUCCCGUCCCCUCCUCAGCCCCAGGAACCUCCAGGCUUCUGCCUGCCUCUGGGUUUGCCUAUCCAGCUCGUUGCCUGUGUUUCAUUCACACACGUGAGGCUUGUUGUCUUUCGGGGCCCAUCCGUUCUUGGGGACCAAGUGAUCCGUGUCUCCUUUAUCCACUUAUUCAGUGACAGUACCUGGGUCCUUUCCACCCUGACUGUUGUGAGCAGAUCUGCUUUGAGUGUGUGUGUGUGAGAGAGAGAGAGUGCAGGUGUGUGUGAGUGCCUGCGUGUGUGUGUGAGUGCGUGCGAGUGUGUGAGUGGGUGGGUAGGUGUGAGUGCGUGCGUGUGAGUGCGUGGGUGUGGGUGGGUGUGAGUGCGGGUUGGUGGGUGUGAGUGUGUGUGAGUGCGUGGGUGUGGGUGCGUGAGUGUGUGAGUGCGUGGGUGGGUGUGAGGGCGUGGGUGUGGGUGUGUGAGUGCCUGUGUGUGUGUGAGUGAGUGCCUGUGUGUGUGUGUUGGGGGGUGUUUGUGAGAAGAGCACCAGGUCUCACGUGUGUAAAGCACAUUCCUGGGGUGGGCCUGCUGCCUCGGGGGAUUCUGUUUACCUUUCCGAGGAACCGUCUGUGUUCCAUGUGAGUGCGUGGGUGGGUGUGAGGGCGUGGGUGUGGGUGUGUGAGUGCCUGUGUGUGUGUGAGUGAGUGCCUGUGUGUGUGUGUUGGGGGGUGUUUGUGAGAAGAGCACCAGGUCUCACGUGUGUAAAGCACAUUCCUGGGGUGGGCCUGCUGCCUCGGGGGAUUCUGUUUACCUUUCCGAGGAACCGUCUGUGUUCCAGCACAGCGGGACCCAGUCCCGCCAACGUGUGUAAAGCACAUUCCUGGGGUGGGCCUGCUGCCUCGGGGGAUUCUGUUUACCUUUCCGAGGAACCGUCUGUGUUCCAGCACAGGCAGCAGGGUGCUCCUGUGGGGGUUGGGGGUCCAGUCCGGCCUGAACGUGUGGCCACGGUCUCUGCAGAACAGCGUGAACUUUGUGGACGACAGCUUCCCCCCCGGGCCCAAGUCUGUGGGCUUCCCUGCAGGCGACAGUGUCCAGCAGCGCGUGCGACAGUGGCUGCGGCCCCACGAGAUCAACUGCUCUGUCUUCAGGGACCACAGCGCGUCCUGGUCCGUGUUCCACACUCUCCGGCCCUCGGACAUCCUGCAGGGGCUCCUGGGGAACUGCUGGUGAGCUCGGGGCGUCCUCGGGCUGGCCUUUC
This 1389-nucleotide long non-coding RNA is filed under the name Sus scrofa (pig). Its description in RNAcentral is "lncRNA (ENSSSCG00005039885.1)". Lineage: Eukaryota; Metazoa; Chordata; Mammalia; Artiodactyla; Suidae. The record is from RNAcentral.